RNAcentral lists this ribosomal RNA (255 nucleotides) under Escherichia coli. Its description in RNAcentral is "partial 23S ribosomal RNA". It matches the Rfam family "Bacterial large subunit ribosomal RNA", at positions 1292 to 1550 of the family's 2925-position model. The record is from RNAcentral. Lineage: Bacteria; Pseudomonadati; Pseudomonadota; Gammaproteobacteria; Enterobacterales; Enterobacteriaceae.
GAAUGCUGACAUAAGUAACGAUAAAGCGGGUGAAAAGCCCGCUCGCCGGAAGACCAAGGGUUCCUGUCCAACGUUAAUCGGGGCAGGGUGAGUCGACCCCUAAGGCGAGGCCGAAAGGCGUAGUCGAUGGGAAACAGGUUAAUAUUCCUGUACUUGGUGUUACUGCGAAGGGGGGACGGAGAAGGCUAUGUUGGCCGGGCGACGGUUGUCCCGGUUUAAGCGUGUAGGCUGGUUUUCCAGGCAAAUCCGGAAAAU